Molecule: transfer RNA, 63 nt
Filed under: Paracarsidara gigantea
Lineage: Eukaryota; Metazoa; Arthropoda; Insecta; Hemiptera; Carsidaridae
Description: tRNA-Cys
Source: RNAcentral
GUUUUUUAUUCAAAAUUUAUGAUAUUAAAUUGCAAAUUUAAAGGUAACUUUAUUAAAAACCUA